This 156-nucleotide small nuclear RNA is filed under the name Trialeurodes vaporariorum (greenhouse whitefly). RNAcentral's name for it is "U12 minor spliceosomal RNA". It matches the Rfam family "U12 minor spliceosomal RNA". From Rfam's summary of the family: Although the U12 sequence is very divergent from that of U2, the two are functionally analogous. The record is from RNAcentral. Lineage: Eukaryota; Metazoa; Arthropoda; Insecta; Hemiptera; Aleyrodidae.
GUGCCUUAAACUUAUGAGUAAGGAAAAUACCGAGUCCUGGUGAUGCUUGACUCUUUAAAUAUAAUUUAUUCACCUAAUUUUUGAAAGGGUAAAGGUCGUCCCUAGAGGGAAGUUCGCCUACUUUAGCGAACUUCCUGGGUGACAGCGAUCUGCCCU